RNAcentral lists this ribosomal RNA (429 nucleotides) under Acidobacteriota bacterium. Its description in RNAcentral is "Acidobacteria bacterium partial 16S ribosomal RNA". It matches the Rfam family "Bacterial small subunit ribosomal RNA", at positions 355 to 776 of the family's 1533-position model. Lineage: Bacteria; Pseudomonadati; Acidobacteriota. The record is from RNAcentral.
UGGGGAAUUUUGGACAAUGGGGGAAACCCUGAUCCAGCCAUCCCGCGUGUGCGAUGAAGGCCUUCGGGUUGUAAAGCACUUUUGGCAGGAAAGAAACGUCAUGGGUUAAUACCCCGUGAAACUGACGGUACCUGCAGAAUAAGCACCGGCUAACUACGUGCCAGCAGCCGCGGUAAUACGUAGGGUGCAAGCGUUAAUCGGAAUUACUGGGCGUAAAGCGUGCGCAGGCGGUUCGGAAAGAAAGAUGUGAAAUCCCACAGCUCAACUUUGGAACUGCAUUUUUAACUACCGGGCUAGAGUGUGUCAGAGGGAGGUGGAAUUCCGCGUGUAGCAGUGAAAUGCGUAGAUAUGCGGAGGAACACCGAUGGCGAAGGCAGCCUCCUGGGAUAACACUGACGCUCAUGCACGAAAGCGUGGGGAGCAAACAGG